Molecule: ribosomal RNA, 261 nt
Filed under: uncultured bacterium
Lineage: Bacteria
Description: partial 16S ribosomal RNA
Rfam family: Bacterial small subunit ribosomal RNA
Source: RNAcentral
CCUUACCUACGGGGGCAGCAGUGGGGAAUAUUGCACAAUGGGGGGAACCCUGAUGCAGCGACGCCGCGUGAGUGAAGAAGUAUUUCGGUAUGUAAAGCUCUGUCAGCAGGGAAGAAGAAAGACGGUACCUGACCAAGAAGCCCCGGCUAACUACGUGCCAGCAGCCGCGGUAAUACGUAGGGGGCAAGCGUUAUCCGGAUUUACUGGGGGUAAAGGGAGCGUAGACGGCAGGGCAAGGCGGGAGUGAAGUGCAGGGGCCCA